CGCGGGGUGGAGCAGUCUGGUAGCUCGUCGGGCUCAUAACCCGAAGGUCGUUGGUUCGAAUCCAGCCCCCGCUACCA
RNAcentral lists this transfer RNA (77 nucleotides) under Desulfobacteraceae bacterium 4572_87. RNAcentral's name for it is "tRNA-Met". It matches the Rfam family "tRNA". From Rfam's summary of the family: Transfer RNA (tRNA) molecules are approximately 80 nucleotides in length. Their secondary structure includes four short double-helical elements and three loops (D, anti-codon, and T loops). RNAcentral also lists the same sequence under 13 other names. The record is from RNAcentral. Lineage: Bacteria; Pseudomonadati; Thermodesulfobacteriota; Desulfobacteria; Desulfobacterales; Desulfobacteraceae.